RNAcentral lists this unclassified non-coding RNA (365 nucleotides) under uncultured fungus. RNAcentral's name for it is "sequence contains ITS1". The stretch from base 1 to 107 matches the Rfam family "5.8S ribosomal RNA", at positions 50 to 154 of the family's 154-position model. The record is from RNAcentral. Lineage: Eukaryota; Fungi.
GAAAUGCGAUACCUGGUGUGAAUUGCAGAAUCCCGCGAACCAUCGAGUCUUUGAACGCAAGUUGCGCCCGAGGCCACUCGGCCGAGGGCACGCCUGCCUGGGCGUCACGCCAAAACACGCUCCCAACCACCCUCAACGGGAUUCGGGAUGCGGCAUCUGGUCCCUCGUCUCUCAAGGGACGGUGGACCGAAGAUUGGGCUGCCGGCGUACCGCGCCGGACACAGCGCAUGGUGGGCGUCCUCGCUUUAUCAAUGCAGUGCAUCCGGCGCGCAGCUGGCAUUAUGGCCUUUGAACGACCCAACAAACGAAGCGCACGUCGCUUCGACCGCGACCCCAGGUCAGGCGGGACUACCCGCUGAGUUUAA